UACGAAGGGGGCUAGCGUUGCUCGGAAUCACUGGGCGUAAAGCGCACGUAGGCGGCUUUCUAAGUCAGGGGUGAAAUCCUGGAGCUCAACUCCAGAACUGCCUUUGAUACUGGGAAGCUUGAGUCCGGAAGAGGUGAGUGGAACUGCGAGUGUAGAGGUGAAAUUCGUAGAUAUUCGCAAGAACACCAGUGGCGAAGGCGGCUCACUGGUCCGGUACCGACGCUGAGGUGCGAAAGCGUGGGGAGCAAACAGG
This 253-nucleotide ribosomal RNA is filed under the name uncultured bacterium. RNAcentral describes it as "partial 16S ribosomal RNA". It matches the Rfam family "Bacterial small subunit ribosomal RNA", at positions 524 to 776 of the family's 1533-position model. The record is from RNAcentral.